AGUGAACGCUGGCGGUAGGCCUAACACAUGCAAGUCGAACGGCAGCACAGUAAGAGCUUGCUCUUACGGGUGGCGAGUGGCGGACGGGUGAGGAAUACAUCGGAAUCUACUUUUUCGUGGGGGAUAACGUAGGGAAACUUACGCUAAUACCGCAUACGACCUACGGGUGAAAGCAGGGGAUCUUCGGACCUUGCGCGGUUGAAUGAGCCGAUGUCGGAUUAGCUAGUUUGCGGGGUAAAGGCCCACCAAGGCGACGAUCCGUAGCUGGUCUGAGAGGAUGAUCAGCCACACUGGAACUGAGACACGGUCCAGACUCCUACGGGAGGCAGCAGUGGGGAAUAUUGGACAAUGGGCGCAAGCCUGAUCCAGCCAUACCGCGUGGGUGAAGAAGGCCUUCGGGUUGUAAAGCCCUUUUGUUGGGAAAGAAAAGCAGCAGGUUAAUACCCCGCUGUUCUGACGGUACCCAAAGAAUAAGCACCGGCUAACUUCGUG
This 492-nucleotide ribosomal RNA is filed under the name uncultured bacterium. Its description in RNAcentral is "partial 16S ribosomal RNA". It matches the Rfam family "Bacterial small subunit ribosomal RNA", at positions 29 to 507 of the family's 1533-position model. The record is from RNAcentral.